Small nucleolar RNA from Abrus precatorius (Indian licorice), 107 nucleotides. The record is from RefSeq and is a predicted model, not a curated record. Lineage: Eukaryota; Viridiplantae; Streptophyta; Magnoliopsida; Fabales; Fabaceae.
AAAUCAUGAUGAAAACACUUCCUCAAAAGCUCUCCAAAUCAUUUCUAUGCCUCGAAUAAGGAUUCUGCUUCAUAUUGCUGGAAGCAACAUAUCUCUGUCAUAAGCUU